CCUACGGGUGGCAGCAGUGGGGAAUAUUGCGCAAUGGGCGAAAGCCUGACGCAGCGACGCCGCGUGAGGGAUGAAGGUCUUCGGAUCGUAAACCUCUGUCAGCAGGGAAGAACGGUCACUGUGCUAAUCAGCAGUGAAUUGACGGUACCUGCAAAGGAAGCACCGGCUAACUCCGUGCCAGCAGCCGCGGUAAUACGGAGGGUGCGAGCGUUAAUCGGAAUUACUGGGCGUAAAGCGCUCGUAGGCGGUAUGGCAAGUCAAGGGUGAAAUCCCCGCGCUAAACGUGGGAACUGCCUUUGAAACGGGCAAACUGGGGGGUGUGAGAGGAUAGUGGAAUUGCAGGAGUAGGAGUUGAAUCCG
This 360-nucleotide ribosomal RNA is filed under the name uncultured bacterium. RNAcentral's name for it is "partial 16S ribosomal RNA". It matches the Rfam family "Bacterial small subunit ribosomal RNA", at positions 338 to 690 of the family's 1533-position model. The record is from RNAcentral.